RNAcentral lists this ribosomal RNA (254 nucleotides) under uncultured bacterium. Its description in RNAcentral is "partial 16S ribosomal RNA". It matches the Rfam family "Bacterial small subunit ribosomal RNA", at positions 107 to 353 of the family's 1533-position model. The record is from RNAcentral.
UAGAGUAACGCGUGGGGAAUCUGCCUUUGAGCGGGGGACAACAUUUGGAAACGAAUGCUAAUACCGCAUAAAAACUUUAAACACAAGUUUCAAGUUUGAAAGAUGCAAUUGCAUCACUCAAAGAUGAUCCCGCGUUGUAUUAGCUAGUUGGUGAGGUAAAGGCUCACCAAGGCGAUGAUACAUAGCCGACCUGAGAGGGUGAUCGGCCACAUUGGGACUGAGACACGGCCCAAACUCCUACGGGAGGCAGCAUG